RNAcentral lists this ribosomal RNA (429 nucleotides) under bacterium. Its description in RNAcentral is "partial 16S ribosomal RNA". It matches the Rfam family "Bacterial small subunit ribosomal RNA", at positions 355 to 776 of the family's 1533-position model. The record is from RNAcentral.
UAGGGAAUCUUCCACAAUGGACGCAAGUCUGAUGGAGCAACGCCGCGUGAGUGAAGAAGGUUUUCGGAUCGUAAAGCUCUGUUGUUGGUGAAGAAGGAUAGAGGUAGUAACUGGCCUUUAUUUGACGGUAAUCAACCAGAAAGUCACGGCUAACUACGUGCCAGCAGCCGCGGUAAUACGUAGGUGGCAAGCGUUGUCCGGAUUUAUUGGGCGUAAAGCGAGCGCAGGCGGAAGAAUAAGUCUGAUGUGAAAGCCCUCGGCUUAACCGAGGAACUGCAUCGGAAACUGUUUUUCUUGAGUGCAGAAGAGGAGAGUGGAAUUCCAUGUGUAGCGGUGGAAUGCGUAGAUGUAUGGAAGAACACCAGUGGCGAAGGCGACUCUCUGGUCUGCAACUGACGCUGAGGCUCGAAAGCAUGGGUAGCGAACAGG